CCACAUUUCACACUUACAGAACCCUAAAGCUCUCAUUCUUUUCCUUCACGCUUCCCGAUUUCCCUUUCUUCUUCAUCAUCUUCAAGGCUAUGAAGUUCAAUAGAUUCAAUGUGUUAUCAACCCGUUUUGUUAUAUUUGAUUGUUGGUGGAAGACGGUAGAGGUUCUCGGAUGUCACAGUUGCCCAUCCGGUGGCGGUGCUUCGAUAGAGGAAGAUGGUGACGGUGGUUGUGGCCUGAAGAGGAACUAUGACGGCGACAUGGGGUUCAUUUAGGGUUUUCUCCAACAGUGGUCUUGUGAUGGUUGUGGUUCAAGGCACAGGGCGGCGGCUAGGGUUCCACCACCACAUAAAUCUGACACUUCUCUCUCAUUGUUAUUGUUUGCUCUUAUUUCAAAUCUUUAUGAUUUAUACACGCUAAUCGCCUUCAAGUUGUUCACAAUUCCAUAUGCAAGUUUUCCAAUCCAGUCUUAUAAGCAUCUAUCUGCUUUUGUAAAUUGGGAAUCGGCUCGCGGAGGUUACAAUGAUCAGGUCAAUACCCUCAGAGAAGGGUUGAUGCCUUAUAAGCAAUUUAUUCAGGAGCUUGAAGAUGAUGUUCUGCCAUCAGAAGCUGAACGAAGGUAUCAAGAAUACAAGUCACAGUAUAUAUCAACUCAGAAUUGGAUGGCACUAUUGGUAAUUGCUUGCAAGAUUCUUAUUAUUUUUAUUCUUCAACCUUUUCUUUACUAGGAGAAAUGAGGCGGCUCGAAAGCUGGCUAAGGAGUUUUUGCAUGACUUGCAAAAUGGGUCAUUAGACUUGUAAGAGACCUUGCCAUGAUAUCACCUUUACAUCGUCUCUUGUCUAAUUAGGCCUGUAAAUGAACCGAAUUUCAACCGAACACUGACACAAACACGAACAUAUAACCGAACACAUUUUUUUGUUUAUGUUUGUUUAUUAAGAAAAUGGUCAUGUUCCUGUUUUUAGGGUAGUGAAUCGGUUCCUUCUUUUAUGUUUGAUCGGUUCUCGGGUCGGGUAAUGGUUGGGUAGGGUCGGGUUUUUCCUUUUGCUCACCCCUAUUUGGUGUGAUGUCAACUUCUAAGCUAUCCAACUGUGUGUGUCAUUAUUUAUUAGAUAAAAGUACUUAUAUAUAUUUUAUUAUAUUUAUUUAUUUAUUUAUUAUUAUUAUUAUUAUUAUUAUUAUUAUUAUUAUUAUUAUUAUUAUUAUUGUUGUUGUUGUUGUUAAUAGGGAGCAGAGUAUAAAUACGGUUAUAGGUUCACCUUAGGUAUUUGGUGUGAAACUUUAUGUUAAGUUGUAUAUACUAUUUGAUUAUAGGAGACAAAAGCUAUCAAGAGCAGAGAAAUUCUUUAGAUGACCAAGUGAGUUAUAAUAAGUGUUUUUACUCUGAUAGUAAUAAUUUAAUACUUGUCCAUAUUGGUAAUAAAUUUAAUAAUCUUAAUUAUUAGUCGCUAGCCGACAACGGUAACAUCUAUAUCUAUACCUUAAUUUUGGGGAUUUUAUUUCGCCUGAUCUCAUGUGGUUUGUUUCCUUUCACAAACACUUAAUCUGUAGCAGUUGUUUCUCAUCAAAGCGAAUAUUCAAAACUUUAAAUCGUUAACAAUCGAAGUGGAUUCAGGUAUGUUUAGUCUUAUUUACAUAAAUUUUUGCUGCUUUAAAUCUUACAUUACUAUUAUUCUACCUACCAUUGUUACUUUAUAUGUAUUGUGCCUCAGAAGCCCUAAUACCAACAAUCGUUUAGCAUACUGAUCAUUGAUAUGUAACUGUGCAUGUUCAAAUUUUACACACAAUACAGGGACUGAGUCAAGUGAAUCGCGAGUAAGAGUAUCGAGUUGCCUAUUUUCAGGUAUGAUAUUAAUCGACCAAGACAACUAUGGAAGAUUGGUUCACCACUUACCACAUCAAUACUCAUUUAGUUUUUCUUCAAGAAUCUUGGAAAUUUAAGAUUUAAAUAGAAUUUAGCAAAGAUAGUACAUUUUUUUAAAGAAACUUGAAAUGGCAGAUUUUGAUACGGAAUUUAGCAAGACCCGAUUGGUUAGUAAGCUUUAAUAUGAUUUAUUAUUUCAUUGAUUAUUGAUUAUAUUACUAUAUAUAUAGUUAAAAAUUGAAGAAUUUGAAGGAGAAAUUAGCAAAGAUAGUAACUUUUUUUCAAGAAACUUUGAAUGGAAGCUUUUUUGAAUGAAAAUUAACAGGUUGCAGGUGGUUAAUGAUCUGGUCAUAUUCAUAUCCACUAAUUUCAUUUUACUUCGGGUUUAAUUUUUUUUAUGUUUUUUGAAAAAGGUGUUUCAUGUUUGUGAAAGUAGGAGCACAUUCAGCAUACUUAUGACUGAGCUAAGUAUUGUUUCUUCAUGUUCUUGAAACAAAGACAAAAACCUCCAAAAGGGUGCUACCUUGCAUGGUUGCCACCCUUUGGCUAACACCCGGUACGUGUGCCCUGCAACUUUGUUCCAUAAACUUGCAUAAGAUGAAUGUUUCUAAUCUAUAUCUAUAUAUAUAAUAAACAUAUAAGGUUUGGGACACGUGUCGCGUUGUGGUGCAAGCAUUUGUGAUUAUUGGUGGGAAACAGUGGGAAACAUGUUAAUUUUACACGGGAUCCGAUUGUGAUAUCCAUACCCAAAAAUUUUGACCCGACUAUAUAUUGCUUCUAAAAUACCUCAAUCACUCAUUCACCAAACCCUAAUACGCCGUUCAAUCUCUCUGCCGAUUCUCUCCUGCCUUCGAUGCACAACCUCUAGAAGGCAAACCCUGGAGGUUAUCCACAACUCUUCGAUGCACAACCUCUAGAUCGACAACUCCAGAAAUGAUGGUUGUGGUUCGACUAAGAAGAAGAUGUUUACGGUGGUUGUGGCCUGAAUAAAAAGAUGACUGCUACAAGGAUUGGUUUCGGGUUUCGUCGGUUGUGAUAAUGUGAGGGUGUGGUUCAAGGAAGCGAGGACAAGGCGGCGGCUAGGGUUUCACCAGCAGCACGUAUUCUUAUGUUGCUGGUUUGAUUAUAGAACCUUAUCGGUAUUAUCUAAUUACAUAAAUCACUUUCAAUUUAUAUCAUCAUUCAUUUUGCAGUUUCCGAAAUUCGUACAAUUUUCUUCAGUUUUGUUCUCGAAUUCCUGCACUCUUUUGUUCAAUCUUGCAUCAAGAUUUUGUUUAACGGUGGUCUUGUGAUGGCUUAUUAGAACAACCAGACGUUUACAACAACCAGACGUUUAUUCCCUUCUUCAGAAGCUUCAUUCAAGGUGAUGGUUGUAACGACACAUGAAGGGGUGCUAGAAGAAUUUCAUGGAGCAAAAUUGGUUGGCUCACGAAGCUUUUCGUUCCCAUGGU
Helianthus annuus (common sunflower) is the source of this 3310-nucleotide RNA transcript. RefSeq lists it as uncharacterized. The record is from RefSeq and is a predicted model, not a curated record. NCBI's taxonomy places the organism in Eukaryota, Viridiplantae, Streptophyta, Magnoliopsida, Asterales, Asteraceae. The transcript is spliced from 7 exons.